AGUGAACGCUGGCGGUAGGCCUAACACAUGCAAGUCGAACGGCAGCACAGUAAGAGCUUGCUCUUACGGGUGGCGAGUGGCGGACGGGUGAGGAAUACAUCGGAAUCUACUUUUUCGUGGGGGAUAACGUAGGGAAACUUACGCUAAUACCGCAUACGACCUACGGGUGAAAGCAGGGGAUCUUCGGACCUUGCGCGAUUGAAUGAGCCGAUGUCGGAUUAGCUAGUUGGCGGGGUAAAGGCCCACCAAGGCGACGAUCCGUAGCUGGUCUGAGAGGAUGAUCAGCCACACUGGAACUGAGACACGGUCCAGACUCCUACGGGAGGCAGCAGUGGGGAAUAUUGGACAAUGGGCGCAAGCCUGAUCCAGCCAUACCGCGUGGGUGAAGAAGGCCUUCGGGUUGUAAAGCACUUUGUUGGGAAAGAAAAGCAGCAGGUUAAUACCCCGCUGUUCUGACGGUACCCAAAGAAUAAGCACCGGCUAACUUCGUG
Molecule: ribosomal RNA, 491 nt
Filed under: uncultured bacterium
Lineage: Bacteria
Description: partial 16S ribosomal RNA
Rfam family: Bacterial small subunit ribosomal RNA
Source: RNAcentral